RNAcentral lists this long non-coding RNA (543 nucleotides) under Linum usitatissimum (flax). RNAcentral's name for it is "long non-coding RNA (LUSI_LNC007185)". The record is from RNAcentral. Lineage: Eukaryota; Viridiplantae; Streptophyta; Magnoliopsida; Malpighiales; Linaceae.
CCCCCGCCGCAGCGGUCAUCGCCGCCGCCAGUCCGCUAAUCCCGGAACCCACCACCGCCACUCUCAUUUUUUACGACCUGCAUUACGACAUCGUAUAGUUUGCAACAUCAACUAUAUAUAUAUACAGAAAAGGAACAAAUGAAACAGAGAGGGAAAGGAUAUUGUCAUCUGAGACUGAGAAGACUCACCCUGAGUGACACUGUAGUAAGCUUGUCAAUAGAGGGAAACAACGGGAGCAGGGGUGUGAAGAGCUAUUAUAAAUCUGAGGAAUUUAUGAAUGGGGUUAUUGUUUGGUUGGAAUUGGAGGAAAACUGGAAAAGGCAGAGUGGCAGAGGUAGGAAGGUGAGAGUGAGAGUGGAAAGUGGAUGGAGAAGAGAGAGAUGAUGAAUCAGGGAAAAUGAGAGGAGGCGCAGGCAUCUUUAUAUAUGGUAUGUUUCAUUUCCAUUCCGGGGAUUCAGAAUUACGUGGAGGUCCAUGGUUAAAAUUCAGACACAUCCAACAAUGUACAUUGAUAGAAUAUUUUUAAUGGAUUUUCUAUUAUAC